AUCAUUAAAAAGGCAAUAUUUAAAAGCUGGAUAUAUUAAGUAUAUAAAUAUUUUAAAAGAAUUAAACAAGUAUUUUUUUAAAGUUAUCAUAUUAAACAUAUUAAAACAUAUAUUAAAAAGUUAUUAUAUUUAAAUGAUAUAUUGUGUAAACAGAUUGAACAGGUAAGGUGAUAAAAUGCACCCAUGUCUGCCACUGUUGCCUAUAGGAAACCAAUCGGUCUCUCCAUAUACUGUCCUAUAUUCUUAUCCAUAAGUUACACAUCAGGACAAUCAGAUGUUCUGUUUCUUUAGAAUAGCCCAUAGUUUCUCAUGAUCCACACAAAGGCUUUGCUGUGUAGUCUCUAAAGCAUGAUCUUCUAAAUUCUUUUGUGCACUCCACUAGCCAAAAAGUACAGUCACAUAUCCUAUUAAUCAAUCAUACACUGUUGGCUAAAAUCCCCACCUAUGGAAAGUUAGACCAAAACAAGUUUCAUCAUCAUAGAGCUGCAGAGCUGGAAAUGACUCUAUGAGUCACUAAGUCCAACCCCUGUUGGAGGCACAGUGGGAAAUCAAACUCCCAAAACGAUGGUCCUGCAGCCAUAUACCUCUGAGUUAUCCAGCAGUUCUUGGUUUUGUAUUCUGAUAAACUGUGUAGUGUCUGGUGGAAGUUCCAACCCCGCUGAAUAACUCAAUGUCGCUUUGUAUCAUAAAAACAUAACUAGAAGGGCCCUGCUCAAUGAGACCAGUGGCUUAUCAAAUUCAGUAUUCUGUUACCAUAGUAGCCAAUCACCUCCUAGAAUGUUUUGCCUGGAAUCCUAGAGGGCCAAAAGAAAUCCUACAGAGAGAUCAACACUGGGACAUACAGAGGUAUGCAACAAUGGAGAAAAUCUGGGUAACGACACAAUUUAAAGCCUUUUUGGUCCAAAGCAAGGGGAAUGCAUUAAAAAUAAUCCUAAAUUGACACUUAAGCAUCACCCCCAACUAUCUGAAAUGAGUGCGCAGAUUUUUUCAUGUAUACUGGAGAGUAUGUGACCAUGGAGGACUGUUAGCUCAUCUGUGAUGGGAGUGCCCAAAAGUGAAGCCAUUUUGGAUGAAUGUGGGUGGUCAUACUUCAAAAAUAACUAAUCAAGCUACUAAGUUUCGGAAAGGGCUCAGUCUAUAUUAUCUAUCAUAUGGGUCCUAUGAACACCAGCUGUACAAACAAUUGAUAUCCUUCCUAGUGAUGGCAGCACAGCCAUAAAUAGCAAUGUGAUGGAGGGGUUGACAAUGGAUAACUGAUAUGAAAGAGUAUGGCAGACAAUACUGGCAGAAAAAGGAAUGCACACUCUUAAGACUGUUAAAGUAGAUACACAAGGAAAUCCAUUCCAAAAAAAAACAAAAAAAAAACCAUUGCCUGAAAUUCUGGCAGGGUAUGUUAUAAAAUCAAAAGCACAGAGUAGGAUCCUCAUAUCUGCAGAGGAUCAAUUCCAAGCUCUCCCAUGGAUGACAAAAACUGGGUAAUAAGUGACCCCCCCUAUACAUAGCAUUGUCUCUGGCUCCCUCUAAUGGCCAGUUCUGGUAACCACAUUGUGGAAAUAUUUAUUUCUGGGGGUUUUCUUUUAAUGUUAAAAAUAUUUUCAGACCACAGAUAAGUGAAACUGUGGAUAGUGAUCCUGUGAAUACAUGGGGUCCUACUGUACUAAAGCUCCACAAGCAAUAAGCUUAACUCCAGAUGUGCACUGUGCCUACAUGAAUGUUUGUUAGUACAAAUUAUUAAAUUGUUUGAAAUUUCAUUAUGGAAUUGUUUGAAGUACUUUUUGAAAAGUGGAACUGCAAUCAACAUAAAAAUAGUGUAUGUUUGCAAAGAUCAUUUUUAAUUUUUCCCUACUUACUGCUCAUCUGUCUUUGAUUUUAUGAUAUGUUACAUGUUUAUUUUUGUUAACAGCGCAAGAAAUGCAGUGGCAUGAAAGUGGCAAAGGGGGUAAGAAGACACUGAUUAGAUAGGAUUUCCUUGCAUGUAACGUGUGAACAAAAACCUGAAUUCCAUAUCAAUUUUCAUUGUAUUACACCACAGAUUAUAUAUUUUGCAAAUUAAAAGGUUUAUCUUUUGACCUGUUACUCCAUGUGCCAGUUUUUUUUUUUCUAGGAAGAAACCUUCAAUUCCUUACUAAGUGGUCCCUCUGGUGUCAUCACAAAAAUUCAGCUAACAUAAUGAAAAAAUGUAUCUGACCUUUAAAAGCAAUAAUGUGACAUAGCUUUCACUGACAAGCAAGGGCCGAUAACAAAGGUAAGAAUUCGUGAUUACACCCAAACAAUGUUGACUGAGUAGCAUCUCACUUGUCCUUGUAAAGAACCUAGGAGUGUCAUGAAAAACUCAGAGCCACAUUAUUUGGAGUAAGGACAAGAAAACACAGGGAGAUAUAGACAUACAAGGAAAAACACAAAUACAUUCCUUCCUCUCGAAAAAAAAAAUUCCCCAAGGGGAAAAGAUAUCAUUACAUUAAUUGGGGGUAUAUAGGUAGUAUCUCUAUAUAGGUAUACUUAAGAGCAAACAGUUUCUCAUAGGACAGCCCUGCUGGCAGCAAUGUAGAAACCCUUGUCUAUGUCUUCCUGCAUUAGGGUAAUUAAAAUGGAAUUCCAUAUAAACAGAGCACUACGAAAGAUUACCCUAAGAUUAUUUUGUAACAAAUGCUGGCGUGCAAAGCAUCCUGCAAACUGCAGCUUCUAUUCCUUUCCUUUUUUAAAGAAUAAAAAUGCACAGAGGGAGAAACUAAGUGUGUGU
Long non-coding RNA from Pogona vitticeps (central bearded dragon), 2740 nucleotides. NCBI's taxonomy places the organism in Eukaryota, Metazoa, Chordata, Lepidosauria, Squamata, Agamidae. The record is from Ensembl.